Molecule: ribosomal RNA, 1596 nt
Filed under: Triticum aestivum (bread wheat)
Lineage: Eukaryota; Viridiplantae; Streptophyta; Magnoliopsida; Poales; Poaceae
Description: partial small subunit ribosomal RNA
Source: RNAcentral
AUGGACAAGAAGAGGGUGGCCAUCGUCGGCGCCGGCCUGAGUGGCCUGGCGGCGUGCAAGCACCUCCUGGAGCGCGGCUGUCGGCCGGCCGUCUUCGAGGCGGACACCGUCCUCGGCGGCGUGUGGGCGCACGCACCAGAGUGCACCAGGCUCCAGACGCCACGGCCCAUGUUCCAGUACUCCGACUUCCCGUGGCCGGAGUCUGUCACGGAGGUGUUCCCGGACCACCGCCAGGUCGCCGACUACCUCGACGCCUACACACGCCACUUCGGCGUGCUCGACUGCAUCAGGUUCGGCUGCAGGGUGGUCGGGAUGGAGUAUGUGGGCGUCGGCGAGGAGGAGGUGGCGGCGUGGGAGGACUGGGCUGGGUGCGGCGAGGCGUUUGGUUCCGGCGACGGCGAGUGGCAGCUCACGGUGGCCGACGUCGACGGUCUCAUGGAGUCGAACAACACGACAAACACCCAGAUACAAUCGAUGGUACACAAGGCAGACUUUGUGAUCCUUUGUAUUGGGAGGUUCAGUGGUGUGCCCAACAUACCUACAUUUCCAGUUGGCAAAGGCCCAGAAGUGUUUGACGGGAAAGUGAUCCACUCCAUGGAGUACUCAAAAAUGGGAGGCAAAAAUGCUAGAGAUAUGAUCAAGGACAAGCAUGUGACUGUUAUUGGCUACCUGAGAUCAGCAGUAGACAUUGCAAAUGAGUGUGCCAACGUCAAUGGUACCGAAAAACCAUGCACGAUGGUAGUACGAACAAAGAGUUGGAUUAUACCAGACUACUAUGCUUGGGGCGUCCACAUUUCAAAUUUCUAUCUCACCCGUUUCGCCGAACUACUUAUUCACAAGCCUGGUGAAGGCUUUCUCCUCAACAUGUUGGCUACUGUCUUGACUCCACUGAGGUUGAUUUUUUCGAAGUUUGUUGAGAGCUACUACUCAAUUGCAAUGAGGAAGCAUGACAUGGUGCCUGACCAUAGCUUUUUUGAGGGAUUAGUGGCAUGUGUAGCUGCCAUUGCACCAAAGGAUCAUUACAAGAAUCUGGAAGAAGGUAGCAUCGUUCUUAAGAAGUCAAAAACAUUCAGCUUUUGUGAAGAAGGUGUGCAUUUUGAAGGUGAAUGUACUCCAGUAAAGAGUGACAUUGUUAUCUUCGGAACCGGAUUCAACGGUGAUCAAAAGAUCAAGGACAUGUUCACAUCAGAAUACUUUCAGAGCAUAGUCGUUGGCUCAACAUCAACGACCGUGCCACUUUAUAGGGAGUGCAUCCAUCCAAAGAUUCCACAGCUCGCGGUCAUCAGCUAUUCCGAGAGCUUGACAAAUAUCUAUACAACAGAGCUUAUGUCCAAGUGGAUAUCACAUUUUAUGGAUGGUGGUUUCAGAUUGCCAAGUGUCAGAGAAAUGCAGAGGGAUGUCCUUGAAUGGGAGAAGUUCAUGAAGCGCUACUCUCGAGACUAUUUCCGUAGGUCAUGUGUUGGAAUUGUUCAUAUAUGGCACAAUGAUCAACUAUGCCAGGACAUGGGAUGCAACCCAAGAAGGAAGAAGGGUUUUUUCUCUGAAUUAUUUGAGCCUUAUGGUCCUUGUGAUUAUGUUAAUCUUCAGCCCAAGUAA